GCGCGCGUGGCGGAAUGGCAGACGCGCCAGACUUAGGAUCUGGUUCCGCAAGGAGUGGAGGUUCAAAUCCUCUCGCGCGCACCA
Molecule: transfer RNA, 84 nt
Filed under: Verrucomicrobia bacterium ADurb.Bin118
Lineage: Bacteria; Pseudomonadati; Verrucomicrobiota
Also listed under: 1 other name
Description: tRNA-Leu
Rfam family: tRNA
About the family: Transfer RNA (tRNA) molecules are approximately 80 nucleotides in length. Their secondary structure includes four short double-helical elements and three loops (D, anti-codon, and T loops).
Source: RNAcentral